AUACGGAGGAUCCGAGCGUUAUCCGGAUUUAUUGGGUUUAAAGGGUGCGUAGGCGGCCUUGUAAGUCAGAUGUGAAAGAUCAUGGCUUGACUGUGGUAAGCAUUUGAAACUGCAGGGCUUGAGUACAGGAGAGGAGAGUGGAAUUCCUAGUGUAGCGGGGAAAUGCGUAGAUAUUAGGAGGAAUACCAGGGGCGAAAGCGGCUCUCUGGUCUGUAACUGACGCUGAGGCUCGAAAGCGUGGGGAGCAAACAGGAUUAGAUACCCUGGUAGUCCACGCCGUAAACGAUGAGUGCUAGGUGUUAGGCCCUUUCCGGGGCUUAGUGCCGCAGCUAACGCAUUAAGCACUCCGCCUGGGGAGUACGCCGGCAACGGUGAAACUUAAAGGAAUUGACGGGG
Molecule: ribosomal RNA, 396 nt
Filed under: uncultured bacterium
Lineage: Bacteria
Description: partial 16S ribosomal RNA
Rfam family: Bacterial small subunit ribosomal RNA
Source: RNAcentral